RNAcentral lists this ribosomal RNA (523 nucleotides) under Henneguya sp. 1 HK-2016. Its description in RNAcentral is "bacterial SSU rRNA". It matches the Rfam family "Eukaryotic small subunit ribosomal RNA", at positions 162 to 669 of the family's 1831-position model. Lineage: Eukaryota; Metazoa; Cnidaria; Myxozoa; Bivalvulida; Myxobolidae. The record is from RNAcentral.
AAUUUAUAUAUCGCUUUUUUGUAAACUGGCAGUUUAUUGGUAUUUCGUAAGAUUUGCCAAAGCAUUUAUUAGAUUAAACCAUCUACUAUUUUAGUAGUAAGACGAAUCUAGAUAACUUUGCUGAUCGUAUGGCCUUGUGCCGGCGACGUUUCAAUUGAGUUUCUGCCCUAUCAACUUGUUGGUAAGGUAUUGGCUUACCAAGGUUGCAACGGGUAACGGGGAAUCAGGGUUCGAUUCCGGAGAGGGAGCCUGAGAAACGGCUACCACAUCCAAGGAAGGCAACAGGCGCGCAAAUUACCCAAUCUAGACAGUAGGAGGUGGUGAAGAGAAUUACUAAGUGGUGGUUCAUUGAACUAUCAACUUGGAAUGAACGUAACUUAAGCAAUUCGAUGAGAAACAACUGGAGGGCAAGUCCUGGUGCCAGCAGCCGCGGUAAUUCCAGCUCCAGUAGUUUGCUUUAAAGUUGUUGCGUUUAAAACGCUCGUAGUUGGAUCACGCAGCAGUGUUCAGUAAUCUAUUCACA